AACAAUGAUUUUAGUGGCGGACUGGUGAGUAACACGUAAGCAACCUGCCUAUUAGAGGGGAAUAACAGUGAGAAAUCACUGCUAAUACCGCAUAAGCUGACAAUAUCGCAUGAUAUAGUCAGAAAAGGAGAAAUCCGCUAAUAGAUGGGCUUGCGUCCGAUUAGCUAGUUGGUGGGGUAAAGGCCUACCAAGGCAACGAUCGGUAGCCGAGCUGAGAGGCUCAACGGCCACAUUGGGACUGAGAUACGGCCCAGACUCCUACGGGAGGCAGCAGUCGGGAAUAUUGCACAAUGGAGGAAACUCUGAUGCAGUGACACCGCGUAUAGGAAGAAGGUUUUCGGAUUGUAAACUAUUUUAGACAGGGAAGAAAAAAGACAGUACCUGUAGAAUAAGCUCCGGCUAACUACGUGCCAGCAGCCGCGGUAAUACGUAGGGAGCAAGCGUUAUCCGGAAUUAUUGGGUGUAAAGGGUGCGUAGACGGGACAGCAAGUUAGUUGUGAAAGCCCUCGGCUUAACUGAGGAACUGCAACUAAAACUAUUGUUCUUGAGUGCAGGAGAGGAAAGCGGAAUUCCUAGUGUAGCGGUGAAAUGCGUAGAUAUUAGGAGGAACACCAGUGGCGAAGGCGGCUUUCUGGACUGUAACUGACGUUGAGGCACGAAAGUGUGGGGAGCAAACAGGAUUAGAUACCCUGGUAGUCCACACUGUAAACGAUGGAUACUAGGU
Molecule: ribosomal RNA, 724 nt
Filed under: uncultured bacterium
Lineage: Bacteria
Description: bacterial SSU rRNA
Rfam family: Bacterial small subunit ribosomal RNA
Source: RNAcentral